RNAcentral lists this ribosomal RNA (489 nucleotides) under uncultured bacterium. RNAcentral's name for it is "bacterial SSU rRNA". It matches the Rfam family "Bacterial small subunit ribosomal RNA", at positions 23 to 507 of the family's 1533-position model. The record is from RNAcentral.
CUCAGGAUGAACGCUAGCUACAGGCUUAACGACAUGCAAGUCGAGGGUUCGAUGGAGCUUGCUCCUUUGGAACGACCGGCGCACGGGUGAGUAACGCGUAUCCAACCUGCCCUUCAUAUUGGUAUAGCCUCCCGAAAGGGAGAUUAAUCCCGAAUGCCAUAUCAUAGUUGCCUGACGAUGAUAUGAAAGCUCCGGCGAUGAAGGAUGGGGAUGCGUUCCAUUAGGUAGUAGGCGGGGUAACGGCCCACCUAGCCGACGAUCAGUAGGGGUUCUGAGAGGAAGGUCCCCCACACUGGAACUGAGACACGGUCCAGACUCCUACGGGAGGCAGCAGUGAGGAAUAUUGGUCAAUGGGCGCGAGCCUGAACCAGCCAAGUAGCGUGCAGGAUGACGGCCCUAUGGGUUGUAAACUGCUUUUAUGCGGGGAUAAAUGAUCCUACGUGUAGGAUUUUGCAGGUACCGCAUGAAUAAGGACCGGCUAAUUCCGUG